Molecule: long non-coding RNA, 4362 nt
Filed under: Cricetulus griseus (Chinese hamster)
Lineage: Eukaryota; Metazoa; Chordata; Mammalia; Rodentia; Cricetidae
Description: lncRNA (ENSCGRG00015034389.1)
Source: RNAcentral
UCCUUCUCCUUCUCCUCCUUCUCCUUCUCCUCCUCCUCCUUCUCCUCCUCUUCCUUCUUUUUGAGACAGAUUCUCACAGACCCAGCUUGUCUUGAACUUGAACCAGGCUGGCCUUAAACUCACAGACAUCCACCUGCCUCUGCUUCCUGAGGGCUCAGAUUGAAGACAUGCAACACCAAGUGGGGCACCCUGGCUCUCUUUUUAUUUUCCAUUCUGAUACACCAUCUCACCGAAUUGCCCAGGCUGGCUCUGAACUCUGUAGCUCAGGAAGGUCUUAAACUUGCUAUCCUCUUGCCUCAGCCUACCAAGUAUGUAAGAUUACAGGCCUGCAUUGUCAAGCUUGUCUGUGAUUUUCUUAUUCUGACACUCAUUCUAUAGAGGUUAAUUAGUUUUUCUCUAUAAAAAAUUGGGGAGGAUUUUUCAGGACUUUCUUAAAAUGCUUGAAUAAAGGCUUUACUCUUUUCAAAAUUCCAAAAAAAUCUAAUUUUAUAAAUUUCUAGCUAUUGGAGUAAAUGAAAUAAUUAACAUUAGUAAAUUUCUUUUUUUUUUAAGAUUUUACUAUUUUGGACUAAGGGAUUUUUUUUGUUGAUUGAUUGUCUAAAGUAGUCACUUACUCUUUUUGAUAUCAGUUUGUCCCAAAAGUAUCUAGUGAACCCUCCUUGCAGUGUCUGUCCUCACUGGGCAACUCAGUGAGGUGGGAGAGGAAAAGACAAGAUGGCAAACUUAUCUUCCUCCUCUUCCCUACCCUGAUCUCAAGCCAACCUUUGCUUGAACAGGGCCCUGCUUCUUUUUAAUGGGUAGUAUGUCUCCUUCUUAGUGAGAUGUAAUUGUGAAUUUCUUUUAUGUGCCUGACAUUUGGGAUAACACUGCCUUAAAAGCCUCUUAUUGCUCUGUGCAGGUUGAUUUUUUUCUUUUGGUUUUUCGAGACAGGGUUUCUCUGUGUAGCCCUGGCUGUCUUGGAACUUCUCUGUAGACCAGGCUGGCCUGGAACUCACAGAGAUCUGUCUGCCUCUGCCUCCCGAAUGCUGGGAUUAAAGGGGUGCCCCAUCACCACCUAGCUUGGAUUUUUAAAUCUAUUAUCAUCAAGUGAUAUGUUCUUUGCUUUUACUUUUUCACUCUUACACAAAGAAUAUUAAUUUCUACCAAUAUUUAUGCCAUGUAUUAAAAUUUUCCCCUCAAAAGUCACAACACUGGGCCAGUACCUGAGCAUGAGUAUACACACACACAUACACACACACACACACACACUUGAAAUCAGAGAGAGUGACAUCUUAAUGGCGCUGACUCUGUUCUUCACAUGGGACCAUGACAUGAAAAGUCUCCUUAUUUGCUAGCCAGCUUCCACUUGGAAAUUUUUCUCUUUUUUGAAACCAUGUCUUUCUAUGCAACCCAGGAUAGCCCCAAAGUCAUGAUCCUCCUGCAUCCACCUCCCCUAUGCUGACCUUACAGACGCAUACAAGCACGCUUAGCUUUUUUGGAGGCCUUUUGAAUCCAGGUGAAUGGCUUGGGUAAGAAGGUUAGGGGACUAGUCAAGUCUCAUCAGAUAAAAAUAACAAUCCUAAUCGACAGCUGCAGCUGAUGCCCUCUCCUGGCAGACAGAGCCUCAGUUCUCAGAGGCCACUAGCCUUAUGUCAGCUCCCCACAGUUUUCACGUACCCAUCUCAUGCCCAGAGAACUCUGCCUACCCAUCACUGCCUGCUAUCUGGCCAACUCCUGGGAACCGCCAGACUUGCCUGGGACUCCAAAGUAUCUGAAUCCCACUCUGUUUCUAGUUUGUUAGUUUGGGGUAGUGGCUGGACCACACGACUGAUGAGGGCCAAGGGAUGUGGUAUUUAAUGAACAUUUUGAUCAUAGAGAUGGUCACUUGCUGUCCAGUAGUGAGACACAACAUGACUCAUCAAGAGAGUAUCACAGAGGGGUGAAAGGCAUAUGCCCUUGGUUCUAGAAGAACAGAAACACCUGCCUGUGAAGGCCUAAAGAAGGGUCUGCUGCUGGAAGCCAAUGUGUGAUGGUAAAGGUAGCUACAGGAAGCAGCAAGCUGUUGGUCUAUAAUCCCGGGAAUGCUGAGGCUGGAGGGAAAGCAGGUCAAGGCAGAACUAUGUCACUGGAGACUCUUGACAGAGCGACUGAGUGCUGAAAGCAAAGGAGGAGAUAAAGGUGACACGGAGCCUAAAAGUUCUCUGGCCCCAUGCCAGGUUACUAGAAUGUUCUUUCCAACAUGAUCUUGGGCUGAUACAGUGAAUAAAGGCUAUUUGCCUCUGGAUCUUUCUCUGAAGUAAUUAGACGCUACACUCUAGGUUGGUUUGAAAGACAGCGUGUUGAGUUUUCUGACCGAUUGACUGCAGAAAGUGAAGCUUGAACUUCAAGGGACUUUAGUCUUCUGCUCAAGCCCACACAUUGUUCCCCUUCUCCCUCCUUUCCUUCCCCACCACAACAGAAGUGGGCAGGCCACCAGCUGUCAGCAGCUGCCACCCUUCCUCUUCUGUCUUUGCCCUCCCUGGCCUUUUCCACUGUUUGCUUCCACUGUGUCACCCAGGCCCCUUAGCUGCCUCUCUCACCUUCCUCAGCUAUUAUGCCCUUGGCUGGGAUGCUGAGAAGGCCAGGCAUGGCUGACCAGGGGCAAGUUCUUGCCACAGAAACCUGUGUGUGUGUGUGUCAGAAGGCAGGCAGGGCUGCUGUUGCUGCAGGCUAAACCUCCCAUUCCUGCCCCAAACAAGGACUGACAGUGAAAGGAAAGUGAGUGAAUGGUUUGGAUCAGGAGAGAUGCAGUAGCCUUCAGUGGUAAUUCUCCCCUUCCUGAGGAACAGAUCUCACAAAACAAAAGAGGAAGGACAAUGUCCUUAAUAGGGUCACUGUUUUGCCUAGACUCAGACUGCACAGUACCAACAACACACAUGGCGUGUUUGUCUGAAUUGGCCCCAGCACGGAAGUAGUCUAGGACAAAUGCCCUAGCAGAUUGAUUGAACUGCAGCUUUCAUGCCAGGCCCCCUGAUGACUUGGGCUCCCUCUGUAGCUCCCACCUAGCUUCUCUUCAAGAAGGUGUCUGAAAAAAAAAAAAAAGAUAAGCAGAGAACUCCUUCCUGGAAACUACAGUGGUGUCCCACAGGUGUGAACUAGUUUUUAGAUGCCUCACCAAUGUUCAGAUGUUGCCACAGAAAUCUGGGCUCUCCUUGGACCCCUUCUCCUGUCCUCUAAGAGCAGAUGAAGUCAGGGAGACUAAGUGAUACUCUCAAGUCCCUGGUUAACUGAUGCUAGGACAGAGCCUUCUAUCUGCACCACCGGUCUAACUCAGAAGGAAAAGCCCCUUUGAUGGGCAGUUUAGACUGUAAACAGGCUUGGACUGAGUCCCAGCUCCUCUAUGGACAAAGGACAUCACUUUGAACUUGCUAUUUAGCCUAAAAAUCAACGUCUUCAUAUGAAAAAAAAAAUGAAUGGGACUGUAGCACAGGAAACACAGAGAGUGCUCAAUAGACACAUUGUUGUAGUGUUAUGAGAGGCAAGAAAAAGCAUCCAAGACUGACCGGAGUGGUCUGGGUCUCACUCCCAAGCUCCCAUGCAGUCUGUCUUCUGAUGCUCGAACCUUGGUCUCUCACAGAGCUGAUUUGGGAUUAGGCAUGCUGGCUUGUCUUUCCUCAAUAAUUUCAAAUCUGUAUUAUUUCCGUUAAAUAUUUAAUACCCACGAGUGAGAUUCAAAUAAUAACAAUAAAACAGAUACGAAUAUUCAUCCCUCUACUUAAGAGAUAGGACAUCGGGACUGAGAUUAAAGUUCAGUUGGUAAAAUGGUUGCUGUGGAGGCAUGAGGGCCUGAGUUCUGGUGGCACACACUUGCUAUCCUAGCUCUGGGGAAAUAGGCAGGCAGAAUGAGUCUGGGACUUGGUGGUCAAUCAGCCAAGCCUAAUUGAUGAGCUCCAUGUCUUAGUGAAGGAACUUGUCUCAGAAAACAAGGAUGACAGAGCCUGAGGGUCAACACCCAAUGUUCCCUUGGUCUCCACAUGCUCGCUCACCCUACCGCCACGUGGGUGCUUUCCACCAGCCACCCGAAUCUGCCCGACGAGUUAGGGUCCCAAAUAAUACACAGACACUUAUAUUAGGUACAAAUAUGCUUGGCCAAAGACUAGGAUUUCUCAUCUGUUAGCUCAGUCUUAAUUAUCACAAAUCUAUAUAUUUUAUAAGACUUAUCUUAUAGAGGAUGCCUUUCACUGGCGCCCUCUCUUGCUGGUGGAUCACAUGGUGACUCCAGAGCAAAGACCAGGAAGAAGAGAGAGGGGUGGCCCACUUCCUUCUUGCCCUUGUUCACAUAUGAGUCUCCCUGCUAUGUCACUUCCUGCCUGGAUCACCACUUCUUUACUACAUUUCCCAGAA